GACGAACGCUGGCGGCGUGCUUAACACAUGCAAGUCGAACGGAAAAGCCCUGCUUUUUUUGGGUGCUCGAGUGGCGAACGGGUGAGUAACACGUGAGUAACCUGCCCUUGACUUUGGGAUAACUUCAGGAAACUGGGGCUAAUACCGGAUAGGAGCUCCUGCUGCAUUGUGGGGGUUGGAAAGUUUCGGCGGUUGGGGAUGGACUCGCGGCUUAUCAGCUUGUUGGGGGGGUAUUGGCUUACCAAGGCUUUGACGGGUGGCCGGCCUGAGAGGGUGACAGGCCACAUUGGGACUGCGAUACGGCGCAGACGCGUACGGGAGGCAGCAGUGGGGAAUAUUGCACAAUGGGCGGAAGCCUGAUGCAGCAACGCCGCGUGCGGGAUGACGGCCUUCGGGUUGUAAACCGCUUUCGCCUGUGACGAAGCGGGAGUGACGGUAAUGGGUAAAGAAGCACCGGCUAACUACGUG
This 468-nucleotide ribosomal RNA is filed under the name uncultured bacterium. RNAcentral describes it as "partial 16S ribosomal RNA". It matches the Rfam family "Bacterial small subunit ribosomal RNA", at positions 28 to 507 of the family's 1533-position model. The record is from RNAcentral.